AUUGAACGCUGGCGGCAUGCUUUACACAUGCAAGUCGAACGGCAGCACAGGGAGCUUGCUCCCGGGUGGCGAGUGGCGCACGGGUGAGUAAUACAUCGGAACGUGUCCUGUUGUGGGGGAUAACUGCUCGAAAGGGUGGCUAAUACCGCAUAAGCCCACGACCCGGCAUCGGGUUGAGGGAAAAGGAGCAAUCCGCUUUGAGAUGGCCUCGCGUCCGAUUAGCUGGUUGGUGAGGUAACGGCCCACCAAGGCGACGAUCGGUAGCCGGACUGAGAGGUUGAACGGCCACAUUGGGACUGAGACACGGCCCAGACUCCUACGGGAGGCAGCAGUGGGGAAUAUUGCACAAUGGGGGAAACCCUGAUGCAGCGACGCCGCGUGGAGGAAGAAGGUCUUCGGAUUGUAAACUCCUGUUGUUGAGGAAGAUAAUGACGGUACUCAACAAGGAAGUGACGGCUAACUACGUGCCAGCAGCCGCGGUAAAACGUAGGUCACAAGCGUUGUCCGGAAUUACUGGGUGUAAAGGGAGCGCAGGCGGGAAGACAAGUUGGAAGUGAAAUCUAUGGGCUCAACCCAUAAACUGCUUUCAAAACUGUUUUUCUUGAGUAGUGCAGAGGUAGGCGGAAUUCCCGGUGUAGCGGUGGAAUGCGUAGAUAUCGGGAGGAACACCAGUGGCGAAGGCGGCCUACUGGGCACCAACUGACGCUGAGGCUCAAAGGUGUGGGUAGCAAACAGG
RNAcentral lists this ribosomal RNA (736 nucleotides) under uncultured bacterium. RNAcentral's name for it is "bacterial SSU rRNA". It matches the Rfam family "Bacterial small subunit ribosomal RNA", at positions 28 to 776 of the family's 1533-position model. The record is from RNAcentral.